UAAGGAAUAUUGGUCAAUGGACGCAAGUCUGAACCAGCCAUGCCGCGUGAAGGAUGAAGGUCCUCUGGAUUGUAAACUUCUUUUAUCUGGGACGAAAACGGGAUUUUUAUCUCAAUUGACGGUACCAGAGGAAUAAGCACCGGCUAACUACGUGCCAGCAGCCGCGGUAAUACGGAGGGUGCGAGCGUUAUCCGGAUUUACUGGGUUUAAAGGGUGCGUAGGUGGGCUUAUAAGUCAGUGGUGAAAUCUCCGAGCUUAACUUGGAAACUGCCGUUGAUACUAUAGGUCUUGAAUUAUCUGGAGGUAAGCGGAAUAUGUCAUGUAGCGGUGAAAUGCUUAGAUAUGACAUAGAACACCAAUUGCGAAGGCAGCUUACUACAUAUAAAUUGACGCUGAGGCACGAAAGCGUGGGGAUCAGACA
RNAcentral lists this ribosomal RNA (421 nucleotides) under uncultured bacterium. Its description in RNAcentral is "bacterial SSU rRNA". It matches the Rfam family "Bacterial small subunit ribosomal RNA", at positions 355 to 774 of the family's 1533-position model. The record is from RNAcentral.